Molecule: non-coding RNA, 23 nt
Filed under: Cricetulus griseus (Chinese hamster)
Lineage: Eukaryota; Metazoa; Chordata; Mammalia; Rodentia; Cricetidae
Source: RNAcentral
UACGGACCACGGAGCGUUUGGAA